RNAcentral lists this ribosomal RNA (541 nucleotides) under uncultured archaeon. RNAcentral's name for it is "bacterial SSU rRNA". It matches the Rfam family "Archaeal small subunit ribosomal RNA", at positions 326 to 871 of the family's 1478-position model. The record is from RNAcentral.
CGGGGUGCAGCAGGCGCGAAAACUNUGCAAUGCGGGAAACCGUGACAAGGGAACUCUGAGUGCCCGUAAAAUCGGGCUGUCCAUCGGUUUAAAUAACCGGUGAAGAAAGGGCCGGGCAAGACCGGUGCCAGCCGCCGCGGUAAUACCGGCGGCUCGAGUGGUGGCCACUAUUACUGGGCUUAAAGCGUUCGUAGCCGGUCUGUUAAGUCUCUGGGGAAAUCUUCCGGCUUAACCGGAAGGCGUCUCAGGGAUACUGGCAGACUAGGGACCGGGAGAGGUGAGAGGUACUCCAGGGGUAGGAGUGAAAUCCUGUAAUCCUUGGGGGACCACCUGUGGCGAAGGCGUCUCACCAGAACGGCUCCGACAGUGAGGGACGAAAGCUGGGGGAGCAAACCGGAUUAGAUACCCGGGUAGUCCCAGCUGUAAACGAUGCGCGUUAGGUGUAUCGGUGACCACGAGUCACCGAGGUGCCGAAGAGAAAUCGUGAAACGUGCCGCCUGGGAAGUACAGUCGCAAGGCUGAAACUUAAAGGAAUUGGCGG